RNAcentral lists this long non-coding RNA (3034 nucleotides) under Oryctolagus cuniculus (rabbit). Its description in RNAcentral is "lncRNA (ENSOCUG00000032298.1)". The stretch from base 2234 to 3034 matches the Rfam family "Eukaryotic small subunit ribosomal RNA", at positions 1 to 1034 of the family's 1831-position model. The record is from RNAcentral. Lineage: Eukaryota; Metazoa; Chordata; Mammalia; Lagomorpha; Leporidae.
GAGAGAAAGGUCUUCCGUUGCCGUUGGUUUCACCCUCCAAUGGCCGCCACGGCCAGUGUGCUGCGGCCGACACACCGCACUGAUCCGAUGGCAGGAACCAGGUGCUUCUCCUGGUCUCCCGUGGGGUGCAGGGCCCAAGCACUUGGGCCAUCCUCCACUGCACUCCCUGGCCACAGCAGAGAGCUGGCCUGGAAGAGGGGCAACCGGGACAGAAUCCGGCAUCCCGACCGGGACUAGAACCUGGUGUGCCGGCACCGCAAGGCGGAGGAUUAGCCUAUUGAGCCAUGGCGCCGGCCCCUGGGUUGCCUUCUGAGGGCCAGAGGCCGGUCCGCUGCAGCCCGUGUGUGAGUUCGCCUGGAUGGGGCUGCCUGCCUCGUGUGGGGUGGUGGCCUGCUCAUGUCCCUAGUCCCCUCCCCCACCCCAGGUCGACCAGGUGGCCAGAGGAGUGUCCUCUAACAGAGAUGGGUGGCAUUUUGGGGACAAGUGACCGGGUCCCCAAGCUCAGAGGUGGCUGUGUCCAGUGCAUCAGCCCUGUGUCCUCUCGCGUGGACAUUUUUAUACUUGGAGUUGUGGUUUUGGACCUGCAGGUAGGUGCUGACACGCUGUUCUCUGGUGACUGUCGCCAGGGAGGGGACUCCGGACGUGCGUUGGGGACACGGGGACAAAGUGGGCUUCCAGUGGGCUGGUGCUCGACCGUGCUCCUUUCUGAGAGCCUGUGCGGUGCCCCUGGAGUGGUCCAGGUUGUGCCUCAGGCGCCUGAAGCCGAGUGGUGGUGUUGCUCCUGUCCCCCCAGCGCCCUCUCCCGGGUGUCGCUGCUGCGGCUGCCUCUGGCUGCUGCCUGUGCCCCUUGGGAGUCUUGGGGGGGUCGAGGCGGUAAGAGAAGGAGACACGUGUGUGCUUCGCCUCGCUUGGAGGGAGGCUGCCGGUGUCGUGCCGUCGUCCCCACGUGUGUGUGGGGUAUCGGCUUGGUGGGCGCAUGCCUGCGCGCUUGCCACCCUGCCCCCGUGGGGUGGUGUGUGCCAGGUGUGUCGAGCGGUCGCGGUGUGGUCCGGUCUGGCCGGACGAGUGCGGGGGCCGGGAGGGCUGUGGCGAAUGGGAUUGGUAAUGCGCCCAGCCUGCCCUUGCCCUGGCCGCGGAUGCUCGAGGUGCCGUUCUUCCUUAUACCGCAGACCCCCCUCGCCCGAUUGAUCGGUUCUCUCGGGUGGUGCUCCCUCGGCUUGCCUCCCUGCCGGCCCCGGCGGGGGGGGGGGCAGUUGGGGUGGGGUGUGGCCCCACCUUCGGUGAGGAACGCCUUCUCUAGCGAUCCGAGAGGGGCGUGCCUUCUGACGGGGUACCGUUAUCCCCCGGCCGCCGUCCCUCCUGUGCUGAGUGCGUUGGGUGGCGUACCCCACCCGUGCGCCCCGUUUGCCCCUUCUGUUGGGGGGAAGCGUAGGCGUGCUGGUGGGUCUGCCGGUCCCCGCGGUGGGGACCGGGGCGCUGCUCUUUCGGCCCUAAUGGCCGCGGCCCGCGCCUCCCCCCUCCGUGUCGGGGGAGGGUCCCGCCGGGCCGGGCUGGCGGUCCGUCGCUCUUUCUUCGUGUUGGGGACCGGCGCGCGUGCCCGUGUGCGCGCGUGCCUUCCGCGUCACUCUCCGUGUGUUGCCUUGUCGGCCGGGGCUUGGCGGGGGCGCGCGUGGUCCGUCCUGCGCGUCCCCGGGGCUGUGGCGCGAGCGGGCAGCUCUCAGCUUCCCCUGCUCGCCACCCCGGGCUGCGACUGGCCGUCGUCGGGCGGCGGUCGGCACGUGUGUUGGGCUGCGCCCAGCCCUCUCUUCCCCCUCGGCCCGCGUGGUCGCCCCUGGGGAGCGUUCCCUCGGGGUCGCGGUGCUUCUCCGGGCAUGGAGAUCCGGAUGGUUGGAUGGGCGGGAGAUGGCGCGAGGGCCGUCCGGUGUGUGCGGUUGUUGGCGCUGCCCGCGCCUUCCUCUGCCUGCCGGGCGGCCCUGGCCCCCGUCUCCUUUGCUCUCUUUCUCAUCCGCUUCCCGACCCGGGUCGCCGUGACCCUGCUGUGUUUCGCCUCCCCUUGGGCCGGCCCACCGUGUCUUGGGGGUUGGGGGUUCCGGCUCCCCUUACGUGUGUGGAACCGCCCCGGACGGCUGUGGUGUCGCGCGUUGGCUUGUUGGCGUGCGUGGGGGAAGGAGGAGGAGGGGGAGGCGUCGUCACCCCCCCAGCUCCCCCCCCCCCCGGGGGGGUGGGCGCCGGCGGCUUUGGUGACUCUAGAUAACCUCGGGCCGAUCGCACGCCCUCCGUGGCGGCGACGACCCAUUCGAACGUCUGCCCUAUCAACUUUCGAUGGUAGUCGCCGUGCCUACCAUGGUGACCACGGGUGACGGGGAAUCAGGGUUCGAUUCCGGAGAGGGAGCCUGAGAAACGGCUACCACAUCCAAGGAAGGCAGCAGGCGCGCAAAUUACCCACUCCCGACCCGGGGAGGUAGUGACGAAAAAUAACAAUACAGGACUCUUUCGAGGCCCUGUAAUUGGAAUGAGUCCACUUUAAAUCCUUUAACGAGGAUCCAUUGGAGGGCAAGUCUGGUGCCAGCAGCCGCGGUAAUUCCAGCUCCAAUAGCGUAUAUUAAAGUUGCUGCAGUUAAAAAGCUCGUAGUUGGAUCUUGGGAGCGGGCGGGCGGUCCGCCGCGAGGCGAGCCACCGCCCGUCCCCGCCCCUUGCCUCUCGGCGCCCCCUCGAUGCUCUUAGCUGAGUGUCCCGCGGGGCCCGAAGCGUUUACUUUGAAAAAAUUAGAGUGUUCAAAGCAGGCCCGAGCCGCCUGGAUACCGCAGCUAGGAAUAAUGGAAUAGGACCGCGGUUCUAUUUUGUUGGUUUUCGGAACUGAGGCCAUGAUUAAGAGGGACGGCCGGGGGCAUUCGUAUUGCGCCGCUAGAGGUGAAAUUCUUGGACCGGCGCAAGACGGACCAGAGCGAAAGCAUUUGCCAAGAAUGUUUUCAUUAAUCAAGAACGAAAGUCGGAGGUUCGAAGACGAUCAGAUACCGUCGUAGUUCCGACCAUA